This is a long non-coding RNA of Suricata suricatta (meerkat), 459 nucleotides long. RefSeq lists it as uncharacterized. The record is from RefSeq and is a predicted model, not a curated record. NCBI's taxonomy places the organism in Eukaryota, Metazoa, Chordata, Mammalia, Carnivora, Herpestidae. The transcript has 4 exons.
UGCCAAGGGCAGACUCCAGCCGGCAUCAAGGACAAGGCAAUGACAGAAUGCAGAGAAAGUGUCAGCUGGGAGCCACUUAGCCGACAGUCUGUGAAUACAGGGGUGCUGUCUUUCUGCUGGCCUAUCCUCCCUUCAAAACUCCUGCACAGAACCUUCCUCAGCUGCUCAGGACUCUUCUCCACUGCACCCUCAUGAGACUGCCAACUCCCCCGCUCAAACACCUUCAGUGGCUCCUCACUGUGGCUCCUGUGUGUCCAGUUCAUCCCGAGACUGGAGGCUUCUGAGAGGACCGCCCUAGAGGAAUCGGGGCAGCUGUGCUGAGAACGCUGGGUGGCAGUUAUCAAGAAUGACAUUCAUCUGUUUGUGCUGAUGCAGAGAGAAUUCUAAGACUUAUUCCAGAGGAAAAAAAAGCAAGCUGCAGAAAAAUGUAUAAGAGGGAGACACAGAAUCUGAAACAGG